ACAAUAUUCUCUUGGCUUUGAGAUUCGAAAUUGAAGGUGUUUUGGGAAUUUUGGUGGGGGAGAAUUUGCAUUUAGAUGAACCGAAGAAGCCAAGACAAGUAGGCCACAGUGAAAUGCUAAUGAGAAAGCGGGUAAUUCAGCAUGCAGUCGAUAAGGCGGCUGCCUUUGGCAAAAGUAUCCGCCAGAUACACGUGGCACGCACACCAGCUGACGCCCCAAAAAAUAGGUGAACAUAAUGCGAUCCGACCGACGAAAUCACAGUUGGCCACCAGAGGACACGCGCCACCUGAUCAGGAUGCGAUAUCUUUCUUCGGCAAUAUUUGAUCGUGCUGAAUGCGGAAAAAGCAGAUUGCAACUGCAGCUGACUUCGAAUGUGGACAAAGGGAUCUUCGGCAAACAAAGCAGCCACAGGAUAUGCGAUACAGCCACUUUUGCACAUUGCCCCGAUGAGUUAUGGACUCCAGAUUGCGGACCCGAAAAGGGCAGCUUCUUGACAGACAAAUGCGGGUGCAUAUCGAUUUCGACUUCGGAUCGGCCGGAACGAUGACUCCUUGGGCCGUGAUCUGCAUUUUUGCGUCCUUCUUGCCGCAUCGCGAAAGGUGCAAAACGAAGGACGAACGUGCCGCAAAAUCUGUGCGGCGACUUAGGUAUUUAAUUGGGUUUUGCGUUUCACUGUCGAUAUUCAAUAACAGCUGGCUCUCGGCUAAAUACACAAAUUAACCCAUUCAAACAAUGCCUUCUUGGAAAGUGUCAAAUUCAACCUCCGAUCAAGGACC
Non-coding RNA from Drosophila melanogaster (fruit fly), 776 nucleotides. Lineage: Eukaryota; Metazoa; Arthropoda; Insecta; Diptera; Drosophilidae. The record is from Ensembl.